GGAGGUAGUGACAAUAAAUCACAAUGCGGGACUAUCAGUCUUGCAAUUGGAUUGAGAACAAUGUACAACUCUUAUCGAUAAGCCAUUGGAGGGCAAGUCUGGUGCCAGCAGCCGCGGUAAUUCCAGCUCCAAUAGCGUAUAUUAACGUUGUUGCAGUUAAAAAGCUCGUAGUUGAAGUGUGGGUGAUCGCUGUUGUGAGACUUCGGUCUCUCGACAGUAAGUCACCCCCUUCCAGUAUCCAGUAGUGGGUAUUCAGUUACUUACUACUGUGUGUUGGUCCUUUACUGUGAGAAAAUUAGAGUGUUCAAAGCAGGCGUUUGCUUGAAUAGAUUAGCAUGGAAUAAUAAUUGAAGGCUUUCGUGUUCGAUUUGAUUGGUUUGUUCAUGGAAGCAAGGUUAAAAGGAACAGUUGGGGGUAUUCAUAUUCACUAGUUAGAGGUGAAAUUCUCGGAUUUAUGGAAGAUGAACAAGUGCGAAAGCA
RNAcentral lists this ribosomal RNA (480 nucleotides) under Blastocystis sp. Its description in RNAcentral is "SSU rRNA". It matches the Rfam family "Eukaryotic small subunit ribosomal RNA", at positions 460 to 953 of the family's 1831-position model. Lineage: Eukaryota; Bigyra; Opalinata; Blastocystidae. The record is from RNAcentral.